This 494-nucleotide ribosomal RNA is filed under the name uncultured bacterium. Its description in RNAcentral is "partial 16S ribosomal RNA". It matches the Rfam family "Bacterial small subunit ribosomal RNA", at positions 28 to 507 of the family's 1533-position model. The record is from RNAcentral.
GACGAACGCUGGCGGCGCGCUUAACACAUGCAAGUCGAACGGAAAGGCCUGCUUUCCCUUGUGGAUUGCGGGUACUCGAGUGGCGAACGGGUGAGUAACACGUGAGUGAUCUGCCCCCAACUUGGGUAUAAGCCUGGGAAACUGGGUCUAAUUCCCGAUAGUACUGCAGGGUGGUGCCUGUGGUGGAAAACGAUUUUCUAGUGGUUGGGGAUGAGCUCGCGGCCUAUCAGCUUGUUGGUGGGGUAAUGGCUUACCAAGGCGGCGACGGGUAGCCGGCCUGAGAGGGUGGACGGCCACAUUGGGACUGAGAUACGGCCCAGACUCCUACGGGAGGCAGCAGUGGGGAAUAUUGCACAAUGGGCGGAAGCCUGAUGCAGCGACGCCGCGUGGGGGAUGACGGCCUUCGGGUUGUAAACUCCUUUCGACCGCGAGGAAGCCACCUGGUUGGAAGGGUGGUGACGGUAGUGGUAGAAGAAGCACCGGCUAACUACGUG